Molecule: ribosomal RNA, 112 nt
Filed under: Candidatus Symbiothrix sp.
Lineage: Bacteria; Pseudomonadati; Bacteroidota; Bacteroidia; Bacteroidales
Source: RNAcentral
UCAGGCGGCUAUGGCGCCGGGGCUACACCUCUUCCCUUUCCGAACAGAGUAGUUAAGCCCGGUCGCGCCAAUGGUACUGCAAGAUUUGUGGGAGAGUAGGGAGCUGCCGGUU